RNA transcript from Ostrea edulis (European flat oyster), 10209 nucleotides. RefSeq lists it as uncharacterized. NCBI's taxonomy places the organism in Eukaryota, Metazoa, Mollusca, Bivalvia, Ostreida, Ostreidae. The transcript has 9 exons. The record is from RefSeq and is a predicted model, not a curated record.
GAAUUGAAGAAACUAGUUGAGUACACUCUAUCGGCUUUGUGAUAUUUUUUUUUAUUAUACUACUACUUGUGUAGAUAUUUUUAUACCUAUCUCUGGAUGAUAUAUACAUACACACACACACACUUAUAUAUUUAUACCUGAUCCCACCUCUGGUAUAACCAGGGGUCCGUGUUUGCCCAACUCUCUAUAUUUGGUAUAUUGUAUUGCUUAUAGGGGUUAUAAGAUUGAUCACUGUUCAUUGUCUUUGCCUUUCUUGAAUACUCGUGUGUGCGAGACAUCUAGUUUCAAUUUUCAAUGAAUAUAUUUACUUAAGGAAUAUUCUAUCAAAGAUAUGCAGGUGGAAAAAUGUAUUUCAGUCUUAUCAUGCUUAUUGUAGAGAACAGAGGAUCCCUACCCUCAAUGGUUUCCUUCGUAUUGAGCUGAUGCAAGUGUCUGUAAAUCCUACAUCUGAGUCAUGGCUUCAAAAUGAUGCCUCGCAAAGCAAAAAGUGCUACUCAGAAAGCCAAAGAGCAACGCCAGAGAAUGCGUGAGAGGCGAGGCGAAGCUUCCAAAAUGAGCAACAUCUCUAUAAACUGUCCUGAAGAGAGCAACAUCUCUUUAAACUGUCCUGAAGAGAGCAACAUUUCUUUAAACUGUCCUGAGGAGAGCAACAUCUCUUUAAACUGUCCUGAAGUGAGCAACAUCUCUUUAAACUGUCCUGCUAAUAUUGAGAAACACAAUGAAAAAGUAGAAAAUAACAAAAUGAAAAAUGUUAUUGAAAAACUAGAAAAUCGCAAAAUGAAGGAUAAUGAAAAACUAAAAAAUGAAAAAAUAUAAAAAAUGAGAAACUUGAAGUGAAGACACAGAAUGAAACACCAGAAAUGGAAAAGGGGAUAAGAAAAAGAACAUUGAAUGAUAAAUUACGAAAAAGAGAAAAUGCAUCAUUUAAACAUCACAAGAGAGACAGAAUUGAAAUGAGAAAUACUAUUGUUCAAGGUAGUUUUCAUCAAGGAGAUGCAAGAUUUGGGACAAAUAGUGGAAAACAGUGUGUUUCAAACAGUUUGUCUGCAAUAGUUCAUGCGAAAUUAAAAGAUGUGAAUGAAUGGGAUCAAGCAUUUUUAGACAAUGUUUUAAUGAAAGGAAACGAGAUAUACACAUGGAUUCAUGGAAGAAAUGAUUUGUUACUGAUUUCAGAUCUGCCAGAUAUGAUGGAAAUGUCUGGAGAAAUGAUACAUAUUAGAAUGAAAAAUUCUAUAACAGCAACUGUUGAUUCAGCAGGAGAAAUUGAUUUCAAUGCUUUUGGAAAUUGCCUGCCAUUAGAUCUUGCAAUUCAAGAAUCUCUCAUUGAAGCUGAUGGUUGUUUCAUCUGUGCCAUUGAUAAAACUUUUAUGGUAUUGAAACAAGACGGCAACUUAUUUUUAUUUGAUUCACAUGCAAGAAACAGUUUUGGAUUAGUAGAUCCAAAUGGUAAAAGUCUACUUAUGCAAUUGAGAGAUCUGGACCAUUUGUAUGAAUAUUGCUGUAAUUUAAUGGUUGGAAUAAUGCCAGAAAAUCAAUGGUUUGAAAUUACAGGUGUAAAUAUCACAAUUCAAGAUUCUUCACUUGAAAUUGAACAUGUACUUGACAUGAAUCAAGUAGAACAUCAUGUGAACAAUAGCUGUGACUCUAAUCCAGGUGUACUUACAUCAGAAAUGAAAGAUCUCACUCAAAAACAUGUGUAUGAAUCCCUCAAAAACCAAUCUUCAGAUGUGGAGAUGCUAUCAAAACAUGAAAAGAAAGGUGAAAUUCAUAAAUGUAACAGUGAUUUUAUGGGCAUAGAAAUCUUAUCAGACAAUGAAAAUUCAAUUCAGAAUGAUUCAGACCUAGAAAUUUUGUCAGAAAAUGAAAAUCCUGUCAGUUAUGAAUUUACUUCCCUGUCAGUUACAAACAAAAGGAAAUUAUGUAAAAUCCUGAAAAUUUCAUCUAAACAAGUGUCCAAAAGAAUAUCUGGAGUUACUUGCAAUAUGGGUCCUCCGAAAGACACAAAAGCAAUAGGAAAAGAUGGGAAUUGUUUAUUUAGAGCAAUUUCUUAUGCUGUUUCAAAUAGACAAGAGCACCACAAAAAGGUUAGAACUGCUGUUGUAAACCACAUGAGAAAAUCUGCAGAUGCUUUGAAAUCAUUUCUCCGACCAGAAUUUCAAUCUGUUGAGGAUUAUAUCAAGGUAUCUAAAAUAGAAAAUGACAGUGUCUGGGGAACAGAACUAGAAAUUUUGGCUACCACUGAUCUUUUGAAAACUGACAUUUUCAAAUGGGUCAUGGCUUAAGUACUCAUCCUCUCAGAUAUGCGGUAACAAUAAUGUGAAUGAUGAAUCAAUAUAUCUGAAACAUACUGGCAAUCAUUAUGAACUUGUUACAAAUGUGAAAGGUCAAGGACAAUCAAAGUUAGAAAAAGAAAAAAACAAGUAUGAAACGUGCCAGGAAUUCAGGAAUAGAAAAAGAAAGAUAUCAAAAGAGACAUUCAUAUAUGAUAAAAAUGCAAAAAAGGAGAAAUAUGAAAAGGAUGUAGAGUUUCAGCAGAAAAUGAAAGAUGCAAGCAAAAAGAGAUAUCAAGAAGAUUAUGAUUUCAGAUUACAUGUUAAAAAUGCAAGUAAAGAAAAGUAUGAAAAUGAUGAGUUCAGAUUAAAAGUUCAGAAUGCGAGCAAGGAAAAGUAUGAAAAUGAUGGAGAGUUCAGAUUGAAAGUUCAGAAUGCGAGCAAGGAAAAGUAUGAAAAUGAUGGAGAUUUCAGAUUGAAAGUUCAGAAUGCGAGCAAGGAAAAGUAUGAAAAUGAUGGAGAUUUCAGGUUGAAAGUUCAGAAUGCGAGCAAAGAGAAGUACAAAAGAGAAGAUGAUUUCAGGGAAUUUUUAAUACAGUAUAGCAAACAAAAAUAUAGACAUGAUGAAACACAUCGAGAUAAAAUCAAAUAUCAGGUGUCUGAACGUCGAAAUGCUCAGAGAGACGAAUGUAAAAACAUUGAAAAUGUUCUUACAAAAUUCCGUGAUGAAGUUAAGAAUGGAUCAGAAUAUGUGUGUGCAUGUUGCUUUAGGCUGUUUUUUCAAAAGCAGGUGCUCUCCUGCUUGAAAGAGAAAUAUGAUAGUACAUUAUUCGAGACAUUCAUUUCUGAGAGGUUUUUGCACAAAUGUGAAGCGAACUGUGUUUCAGAAUGUACGUUCAUGAGAACAAGUAAAACGCAGCUGUGGAUUUGUUAUACUUGUCACAGAAAGUUAGCAAAUGGUAACAUACCAGGUGAUUCCUUUGCAAACAAUCUUGAGCUAGAGGAAGUUCCAAAAGAGCUUGGUAGCUUAAAUACAUUAGAACAGCACCUAGUAGCAUUAAAUAUACCUUUCAUGAAAAUUCUUGGUUUACCAAAAGGAGGACAAAAGGGUGUUCAUGGUCCAGUUGUGUGUGUGCCAUCAGAUUUAAGAAAAGUAACAUCAACUUUACCAAGAUCAGAAGAUGAGAGUCUUUUACUGAAAGAGAAAAUUAAAGUAUAAAGGAUAUGAGGAGUACCAGUUCGUAAAUCCAAAACAUCUAGAGGAAGCGUUGUUGUUCUUGAAAAGGAAUAAUGCGUGGUAUUCCGAAAUUAGAGUAAAUGAAAAUUGGCUUAAUCCUAUUCCCGAGGAAAUGGAAUUAAAUGACGAUAAUGAUUAUGACAAAACACCUGUAACUGUGGACACAAUGAUGAAUGACAGUCAAGUAACAGAGACUCUUAUUUCUAAAAACAAAGAAACUGAAUCAGAGUCAUUUCUUGAUGAAAAACUUCAAGGUGUACAAUUAGAUACUUGUUUACAGCCCGCAGACAUUGGUCAAGAAGUAUUAGAUUUAUGUUUUGAUCAAGUUUUCGAAAUUUCUCCAGCAGAAGGAAACAAUCCUCUAUCAGUUUUACAAGAGGAAGGAAUCGAAGCAAAAACAUUCCCUGUUCAUUUUCCAACUGGUCACAACAGCUAGAAUGUUUGACCAUAGAUUCCAUGCUUUCCUGAAGGAAGUUAUUUUGUCAGAUGCUGAACCCAUUGGAAAAGUUCUUGACUAUUUUUAUAGAGUUGAAUUUCAACAAAGAGGUUCACCACACACACACUGUUUGUUUUGGAUAGAAGGAGCUCCAAAAUUUGACACGCAUUCGGAAGAGAGAAGUGAAAAGUUAACCCUUGGAAGAUACUUCAAUAAUCGGUUAAUGAGUGUUGAAAAUAGAUUUGCAAGAGACACAUCGUACAUUUUUUUUGCUCAGUACUUAACGGAAUUGAGUCGAGUUAUAUCGAAUGUGCAAAUUUCUUUAAGAAAACAAUCAGGUUAGUCUUCGGAGGGCAAACAAAUUGCCGGAGAAAUGUUAUGUGACAAAAGUACUUUGAAGAAACUUUUCAAGAAAGAUGAAGCAAUUAAGUUCUUGAAGCCUGUUGGAGGAACACCACCCUAUUGGCAAGCCGCACAGAAAGAUAUCUUUGCAAUGAUACGCCAGUUGGGAAUACCGCAGUUCUUUUGUUCAUUUUCAUCAGCAGACUUUAGGUGGACAGAAAUGGUAGAAACAAUUCUUAAACAACAGGGUGAUAAUAGAAAAAUAGAAGAUCUGUCAUGGAAUGAUAAAUGCAAAAUCUUGCGCAGUAAUCCAGUCACAACAGCUAGAAUGUUUGACCAUAGAUUCCAUGCUUUCCUGAAGGAAGUUAUUUUGUCAGAUGCUGAACCCAUUGGAAAAGUUCUUGACUAUUUUUAUAGAGUUGAAUUUCAACAAAGAGGUUCACCACACACACACUGUUUGUUUUGGAUAGAAGGAGCUCCAAAAUUUGAAACUGACAGCGAUGCAGAUGUUGUUCACUUAUCAAUAGAUAUAUAACAUGUGAAAUACCAAAUCAACAUGAAGACCCAGAAUUGCAUAACAUUGUUAUGGCUGUGCAACAACAUAGCAAAAAUCAUUCAAAAUCAUGCAAAAAGAAAGGAACAGUUUGUAGAUUUAACUUUCCUAGACCACCAUCUGAGAGAACAUUUAUAUCAAAACCGCAAGACAAUGUUGAAAAAAGUGAAGAACAAUUGGCCAAGGAGAGAUUGUCAGUUCUGUGGGAUACUGUAAACAACAGUGAAAAUGUAAAUGACUCCACUUAAUAUUUACUAUUGAAAGCAGGAGUGACUCAAGAAGACUUUGAGAAAUGCUUUAGUUUCAUCACAAAAAGAAACACUGUUGUACUUAACAGACAGUCCAAUGAGAUUUUUACGAAUCAAUACGACAGGCAUCUUUUGAGAGCGUGGAAUGCAAAUAUGGAUAUUCAGUUCAUUUUAGAUGCAUUUUCUUGCGUUGUUUACAUCAUCAGUUAUAUCAGCAAAGCAGAACGAGAACUAGGACUACUUCUGCAACAAACAAAGAAUGAAGCCGUUGAUGGAAAUUUAAAUGCUCAAAAUGCUAUGAAAAAGGUUGGUACUGCAUAUUUACAUCACAGGGAAAUAAGUGCACAAGAAACAGUUUACAGAGUUACUGGAUUACGAUUAAAAGAGUGCUCGAGAAAGGUUGAAUUUAUUCCAGUUGGGGAAAAUCCCUGUAAAAUGAGUAUUCCUUUGAAAGAAAUUGAAAAGAAGCAGAGGUUUAAGAAACCAAAGCAACAAAUAGAUUGUACAGAAGAACACGUGGAUGAAGAAAGUGAGUCAGAUAUUUGGAUGAUCAGUAUGGUUGAUAGAUAUAGAGAAAGACCUGACACUGAUAUUUUUCAAACGAUGUGCCUAGCAAGAUUUUGCUCAGAAUUUGCAGUUGUGGUUGAAUCACAGUUACCAAAGAAAGUUAAUGAAGCAACUACAUUCAAACUUGAUAACAAUCUAGGAUACAUCAGAAGGAGAACAAAAACAAAACCAGCAGUAAUUAGGUAUCCCAGGUUCUCAGUUGAGACUGCCACAGAGAAAUACUAUCAGAGUAUUUUACAGUUAUUUUUGCCAUACAGAAAAGAAUUGCAAUUAAAACCCAGAAAGUUUGAAACAUAUGAGAUUUUUUAUAAAAUUGGACACAUCAAAUAUCCUGGUGAGGAGACAUUACAAUCAGUGAAAGAAAUUGUAGACAGAAACAUGUCAGAAUAUGUAAAAGAUGGUCAAAACAUGGAAGAAGCAGAAAGAAUCUUUGAUGCACAAGGUCCUCAAGAAGAUGCAUGGUGUGAAUUAUGUCCAGAAACAGAAGCGAAUAGAAUAGAAUGCAUAGAAGAAGGGAAAAAUACAACAGUGGAAGAAAAUGAGUACUCAGAUCAAUCAGUACCUGAUUUGAAUAGAACAGAAACAUCGAAUGUCACGGGAACUAAUCUUUUGUUCUCAACUUUUCCAAAGAAUGAAAUAGUGCCACUUCUUCAAACUCUGAAUUCAAAACAAAGGCAAAUGUUUUACACAAACAUAAAAAUCACGGUGCUGGAGGAGAUGGAUAUUAGAUCUAUUAACAGCAGAUACAGUGCAAAUGGUAAAACAAAUAAAUUCCUGAUUGCUGCAUUAAUUGAAGGCCAAAUAGAAAAUAUUGGUACUUUCAAAGAGGAGUUCGCCAUGAAACUUAAAAAGGGGAACCAGUACAAAAUAUUCAGAAUUCAACACCAUGAUGUCUAUGGAUUUUAAAUAAAGAAGGAUAGUGUGAUCAUGGAUACGAAAUUCAGUUUAAAUGAAACGGAGAAAAAAGUAAUGGAGUUUUAUACUCUUCCAUUACUUUCUUUGAAUGAUGCAGCAGCAAUCGAAAAUUACAAAAGAACAUCAAUAGGGCCAGUGGAAAUCCUGGAAAUUGGAGAACUGCAAACAAAAAACAUGCUUAGGAGAACAGAUCAGAUUGGCCAUGGUGGGAGAACUGCUCUCCUAACAUUAUGGGGGAAACCUGCGCAAAAUUUGGACGUACAGCUGAACAAAACAUACAACGUAUUCGCAAUAAAGCCCGGAAAUGAUUUUAAUUAUCAACGGUCUUAUAAUUCAACCAUAUCAAUAACUUUCCAGGGAAUAUCAGAAGAAGAAUGUGCAGAACUACAAUUUAGUGGCGAGAUAGAGUCAGUCUCGUUUGAAAAUAACUUGGUAGAGAUUGAUGGGGAUCUUUUGAGAAUAUCAAAAGAAAAAAUAGAGAAACUAUUCCCAGAAAAUAUUUUUAUAUCGGGAAUCAAAAUGGAAGGAAAAAGGAAAAGAGAUGAAAUUGUUGAAAUACAGCCAAUAAAGGCUCAGAAAUCCACCAUAAAAAGUGCAUAACAAGGCAGUAACUGUCAGUGAUUGGGAUAAGCACGUGCCCUGCGCCAUAGUUGCAUUAAGACAUGUUCCAUGAAAAAUGCUUGUAUUGACUCCCAUUGGGAAUGUCUUUUCAAAGUGCCAAACUGUGGUAAUUUUUUGUGGUAACUAAAAAUUUAACACUCAGGAUCAAGAAAAUGUAAAAAAUAAAAUUAUAAAAGUAUUCUUUCACUUCUAAUUUCAUUUUUUUUUUAAAACGGUUGAUAACAUCACAUUUUUAUGACGGAACACUUGACGGAAAAUGACAUUAGCAAUUAAUAAAUCUUCUGUUUACUAAACAAGUUAUGAAAUUAUUUAACUACAUGGCUCUCUUAAUGAAAGGUUUAAAUGUAAUUUAUAUACAUUACAUCGAGACCAAUGUUUGUUGUGCUUUAAUAAUGACCCAGAAUCUUUUAUUUUCUGUCAAUGCUAAUGUCAGUUCUGGACGGAACUUUUUUUAUGCUAAUGUUAUUGUUUGACGGAACAAAACCUUGUGGAACUUUUUCGCAGUAAUGUAAAUCAUGAUAGACUAUAAAUAGUUUCCCAUGACGAGUUUUUAUUGCAAUAAAAUAGUCUUUGAAUUCAUAAACCGGUAGUUUAACGUACGAUUUAGUACAAAUAGAACGAUUUCUUAUGAUAACGUCACAUGUUGCUAACGUUAGCAAUUUUGACAGAAAGUCUAUCGCUUGAAGUUUUACAUAAGUUUAGAUACCUCAUUCACUCAACCUGCCAUAUGCAAUUGGGAAAUCUCAUUACAACGCCCCUUGCAGGGAGAGUUGUAAUAAUAACAAAGAACCACAACUAUUACAAGGGUUUGGUAAAGAAGUGUGUUAAUGUCAUUGUGCCGAGUAGAAUUUGACAGAAUGAUGUUAGAUCAAAUAUCAAUGUAAUUUCUUAAGUCAGAUAUUUUGUUUAAAGAAGAUAAAAUCUGUUCCACGAUUAGAUUAUGACUUUUAAUACUUAAUUCCAGAAAAAUAAUCAAAGCAAAUUGUUUUGCAGUACAUCUAUAUGUACAUAUGUCCAUUAGUGCUAACGUCAGUAUGUUUGACAGAACGAAAGUUACAAAAACUGUUUACUUUGAAUUUACUUUUGUAUAAUUUGUUUUCAUAAAUAGUUUGCAAUUUUUUUAUAAAGAUUAAGUAAAAGUACAUACAUUUUAUGUUACAUUUUUUUCGCCCCUUGUUUUCUUAUAUAAGUUGAAAUAAAGUACCCGAGAAGUUGGGUACCACUUCUCACGGGAGUUAAUUCUGUCAAUUUUUCUCAUAUUUUGAACAUUCAUAUACCAAAAUAAUUUUAACAAUUUAUGUGUGGCAAAAUAUUUUUGAUUUUAUAAUUAACUCUAGUCCAUUCAAGUUUGUAAUUAACAACAUUCUUUACUUUUUAAGCAUAUUUAUCUUUAAAUACGGAGGGGGAAAAAUUGACGGACAUUUAUGGUAAUUUGGUGGAAUAUGUCAUAAAUCAAAAAAAAUGGCGCACAGAAUAUUGAAACACUGCGCCGUUGUGGCACAUAUCGUAGAUAUACCUAGAUUGAGCUUUUCCCCACUGACUUCGUAGAUAUACGAAUUGUUAAACUUUUGAGAUAAUCCCCCACCAGUGAUUUUUUUGGGACCAAAAUGCCACAGAUAUUCGGCUGUUUCCCCUCACUAAAAUUAGAUAUUUUUUCCCAAUUAUAUAUAUAUGUUUUUCCCAAUUUGAAAUCUAGGGAAAUUAAGCCAUUUAAAAAAAAAGGUUACCGUAUAUUGCUGACAAAGAGUAAAUACGUUUUUUCUUCAGUUUUAUUCUCUAAACCACUGCACAUGCAAAAGGUUUUGUAAAGAAUAUGUAAAACAAUAGAGGCAUCCAUAUUGUAGCAGAUAUGCAGCGAAGUAUAUGUUUACAGAUACACAUUAAGACAUAUUGUUGACAAUUUAAUUUGACCGCCAUUAUAUGUAGGGUCAGGCUAAUAACAGGAAGUGGCCAACAGUAUAGGGUUUUACUAAAAUCCGAAAAAUACAAAUUGGAGAGACAUUCUGGAAACUUGAUUAUUAUAAUAUUUACAAGAUUAUGGGUAAAAAUGCUGGUGAAUUUAUAAUUUAUUAUUUUCUUUAUGAAAUUAGACAAUAAGUAUUUUUUAGAAAAAAUAAAUAAUAUCUAUACAAGGUGUGUCUAGUAUUAAUAAUGAUAAAUAACUUAAUAAAUAAAUCUAUACUCUUGUUGUAGUGAUAACAUUUGCAAAAUGUGACAAUGAAAAAAAAUGUGUUGUGAUCAACAGAAAUUUUUUGGGUAGUUCUGGAAAGUGGAAACAUAUUUUUUUUUUAGCCUAACUUCAUAUUUUACUUAUUGUUUGCCCCUUUGUCAUCAUUUAAUAAUUUGCUUCUUGCUCGUGAUUUUUGUUUUUGCGUAUAUCGUUCAUAAUGUCAUACAAGCACAUGUAAAUAUUCAUAUUAAUUUUUGUUUGAUUCAUGUAUUAUCAUAUAUCGUGCCUUUUCUUGUGUAAUUCACUGAAAUUAGAAUUAUUCCAGUUGAACCUUUUUUUUUCUCUCUAUUUUUCAGAAUUAUCUUUGUUCACUUGCUAUUUAUUGUCAAAACUAUUUUCAGGAUUAUUUUUGUUCACUUGCUAUUUAUUGUCACCUUUAGUUAACAUAUAUAUGAGAGACGAAUUAAUAUGUAUAAGUUUAAGUGCAUAUAUGCACUUGUUUUUUAAUCUGAAAUUCUACAAUUCAUCAUGUUUAUUGUUUUUUGUUCAAAAUACAGUUAAACUAAUGUAAGAUAAUUAUGCUGAGACAGAUUUACUCACAAACAUAUGUACAGUAUAUUUGAACCUCCUAUUUUAAGAGUCCUCCAUUAUUUUUCAUCAUUUUUUUAGCAUAGAUGUACAUAUAACGCAUUGAUAUGAUUAAAUUAAGCACAUGGAUGCAUGUGCACUGAAUUGUGAUUGAAUGUCAAUGAUCUUGCACUUAUUUCAUAUUGUUAAUAAGAUAAUCUGAAUAUUGAAAUGCUUUACUUAAUGGCAUUGUCAAAAUAAAAUAUGAAUGCAUAUCAUGUUA